UACGUAGGGGCCAAGCGUUAUCCGGAUUUACUGGGCGUAAAGCGCAUGUAGGCGGUCGAUCAAGUCGGAUGUGAAAGCUCCUGGCUUAACUGGGAGAGGUCAUUCGAAACUAGUCGGCUGGAGGGUGGUAGAGGAGAGCGGAAUUCCAGGUGUAGCGGUGAAAUGCGUAGAUAUCUGGAGGAACACCAGUGGCGAAAGCGGCUCUCUGGACCAUUCCUGACGCUGAGAUGCGAAAGCCAGGGGAGAGAACGGG
RNAcentral lists this ribosomal RNA (253 nucleotides) under uncultured bacterium. Its description in RNAcentral is "partial 16S ribosomal RNA". It matches the Rfam family "Bacterial small subunit ribosomal RNA", at positions 524 to 776 of the family's 1533-position model. The record is from RNAcentral.